CCUACGGGAGGCAGCAGUGAGGAAUAUUGGUCAAUGGACGAGAGUCUGAACCAGCCAAGUAGCGUGAAGGAUGACUGCCCUAUGGGUUGUAAACUUCUUUUAUAUGGGAAUAAAAUGUUCCACGUGUGGGAUUUUGUAUGUACCAUAUGAAUAAGGAUCGGCUAACUCUGUGCCAGCAGCCGCGGUAAUACGGAGGAUCCGAGCGUUAUCCGGAUUUAUUGGGUUUAAAGGGAGCGUAGGUGGAUUGUUAAGUCAGUUGUGAAAGUUUGCGGCUCAACCGUAAAAUUGCAGUUGAAACUGGCAGUCUUGAGUACAGUAGAGGUGGGCGGAAUUCGUGGUGUAGCGGUGAAAUGCUUAGAUAUCACGAAGAACUCCGAUUGCGAAGGCAGUUCACUGGACUGCAACUGACACUGAGGCUCGAAAGUGUGGGUAUCAAACAGGAUUAGAUACCCGUGUAGUC
RNAcentral lists this ribosomal RNA (460 nucleotides) under uncultured bacterium. Its description in RNAcentral is "partial 16S ribosomal RNA". It matches the Rfam family "Bacterial small subunit ribosomal RNA", at positions 338 to 795 of the family's 1533-position model. The record is from RNAcentral.